This 745-nucleotide ribosomal RNA is filed under the name uncultured bacterium. RNAcentral's name for it is "bacterial SSU rRNA". It matches the Rfam family "Bacterial small subunit ribosomal RNA", at positions 509 to 1252 of the family's 1533-position model. The record is from RNAcentral.
CAGCAGCCGCGGUAAUACGUAGGGGCCAAACGUUGUCCGGAUUUAUUGGGCGUAAAGGGCUCGUAGGCGGUUCAACAAGUCGGUCGUGAAAGCCCGGGGCUCAACCCCGGGACGCCGGUCGAAACUGUUGUGACUAGGGUCCGGUAGAGGUGAGUGGAAUUCUCGGUGUAGCGGUGGAAUGCGCAGAUAUCGAGAGGAACACCAGUAGCGAAGGCGGCUCACUGGGCCGGUACCGACGCUGAGGAGCGAAAGCAUGGGGAGCAAACAGGAUUAGAUACCCUGGUAGUCCAUGCCGUAAACGAUGAACACUAGGUGUGGCGGACUCAUUGACGUCUGCCGUGCCGAAGCUAACGCAUUAAGUGUUCCGCCUGGGGAGUACGGCCGCAAGGCUAAAACUCAAAGGAAUUGACGGGGCCCCGCACAAGCGGCGGAGCAUGCGGCUUAAUUCGAUGCAACCCGAAGAACCUUACCUGGACUUGACAUCAUGGGUCUACCUGUAGAAAUACGGGGUGCUUAUGCGCCCAUGACAGGUGGUGCAUGGCUGUCGUCAGCUCGUGUCGUGAGAUGUUGGGUUAAGUCCCGCAACGAGCGCACCCCCUGUCCUAUGUUGCCAGCACGUAAUGGUGGGGACUCAUAGGAGACUGCCGGGGAUAACUCGGAGGAAGGCGGGGAUGACGUCAAGUCAUCAUGCCCCUUAUGUCCAGGGCUGCACGCAUGCUACAAUGGGUGGUACAACGGGCUGCAA